UACGAAGGGGGCUAGCGUUGCUCGGAAUUACUGGGCGUAAAGGGAGCGUAGGCGGGUUAUCAAGUUGGAGGUGAAAGCCCAGGGCUCAGCCUUGGAAUUGCCUUCAAAACUGAUAGCCUAGAGUAUGGAAGAGGUAAGUGGAACUCCGAGUGUAGAGGUGAAAUUCGUAGAUAUUCGGAAGAACACCAGUGGCGAAGGCGACUUACUGGUCCAUGACUGACGCUGAGGCUCGAAAGCGUGGGGAGCAAACAGG
RNAcentral lists this ribosomal RNA (253 nucleotides) under uncultured bacterium. Its description in RNAcentral is "partial 16S ribosomal RNA". It matches the Rfam family "Bacterial small subunit ribosomal RNA", at positions 524 to 776 of the family's 1533-position model. The record is from RNAcentral.